CCUACGGGGGGCAGCAGUAGGGAAUCUUCCACAAUGGACGAAAGUCUGAUGGAGCAACGCCGCGUGAGUGAAGAAGGGUUUCGGCUCGUAAAGCUCUGUUGGUAGUGAAGAAAGCUAGAGGUAGUAACUGGUCUUUAUUUGACGGUACUUUCUUAGAAAGUGACGGCUAACUACGUGCCAGCAGCCGCGGUAAUACGUAGGUGGCAAGCGUUGUCCGGAUUUCUUGGGCGUAAAGCGAGUGCAGGCGGGUCAAUAAGUCUGAUUUGAAAGCCUUCGGCUCAACCGGAGAAUUGCAUCAGAAACUGUUGAACGUGAGUGCAGAAGAGGAGAGUGGAACUCCAUGUGUAGCGGUGGAAUGCGUAGAUAUAUAGAAGAACACCAGUGGCGAAGGCGGCUCUCUGGUCUGCAACUGACGCUGAGGCUCGAAAGCAUGGGUAGCGAACAGGAUUAGAUACCCCAGUAGUC
RNAcentral lists this ribosomal RNA (465 nucleotides) under uncultured bacterium. RNAcentral's name for it is "partial 16S ribosomal RNA". It matches the Rfam family "Bacterial small subunit ribosomal RNA", at positions 338 to 795 of the family's 1533-position model. The record is from RNAcentral.